This 253-nucleotide ribosomal RNA is filed under the name uncultured bacterium. Its description in RNAcentral is "partial 16S ribosomal RNA". It matches the Rfam family "Bacterial small subunit ribosomal RNA", at positions 524 to 776 of the family's 1533-position model. The record is from RNAcentral.
UACGAAGGGAGCUAGCGUUGUUCGGAAUCACUGGGCGUAAAGCGCACGUAGGCGGACGUGUCAGUCAGGGGUGAAAUCCCGGAGCUCAACUUCGGAACUGCCUUUGAUACAGCACGUCUUGAGUCCGGAAGAGGUGGGUGGAAUUCCUAGUGUAGAGGUGAAAUUCGUAGAUAUUAGGAAGAACACCAGUGGCGAAGGCGGCUGACUGGUCCGGUUCUGACGCUGAGGCGCGAAAGCGUGGGGAGCAAACAGG